UGGGGAGUCGUCUAAUGGUAGGACAGCAGACUCUGGAUCUGUACGUGAGAGUUCGAUUCUUUCCUCCCCAGCCU
RNAcentral lists this transfer RNA (74 nucleotides) under Candidatus Wallbacteria bacterium GWC2_49_35. RNAcentral's name for it is "tRNA-Gln". It matches the Rfam family "tRNA". From Rfam's summary of the family: Transfer RNA (tRNA) molecules are approximately 80 nucleotides in length. Their secondary structure includes four short double-helical elements and three loops (D, anti-codon, and T loops). RNAcentral also lists the same sequence under 1 other name. The record is from RNAcentral. Lineage: Bacteria; Candidatus Walliibacteriota.